UAACGUCUUUCGCUAGGAAAACAACAGGCGCGUGACGCUAAUAGAACUCGAGCGUAAUAAUUGUUAGUUUUUAAAACAAAAUUAAGAUUUUGAAACCAUAUUUACGAUAUAUUAGAGUUAAUAUCAGGGUUACUGUGUCGCGCGCAGUGGAGAGGAAGCGUUAGCGGCUGUGCUCGCUCAUUCAUUCAAGCAGAAGCGCGCCGAGAGGAGGGGCCAGGCUGAGCCCGAGAGCAGCAACCGCUAACAAAGGAAGAGCACAAACCUGGCCGGGCUGCCGUCUGCUCGCCUGUUUUGUUGUGACCUAGCAUUUCAGUUUCCUCUAAAAUAACAGCAAGUUUUUAUUACUAAGAGCUGAGAUGGCUGACAUGUACAUUCGCGUGGCCGAGGAGGAGAACGAAGAGCCAAUGGAGAUUCCCUCUGAGGACGACGGCACGGUGCUGUUGUCCACGGUGGCGGCGCAGUUUCCAGGCGCGUGCGGCCUGCGCUACCGGAGCCAUAUUUCUCAGUGCAUGCGCGGCGUUCGCCUUGUCGACGGCGUGCUGCACGCGCCGGAGAACGGCUGGGGAAACCUCGUCUUCGUCGUCAGUUACCCAAAAGAAUCGGCAGACAAUAAGCGCAAAAUGGAUGAAAUAGAUGCCUCAUCUGCAAAAAUCAAGAGGGGAGACCAGAAGACCUCAGAUCUGAUCGUGUUGGGCUUGCCAUGGAAAACUACAGAACAGGACCUAAAAGAUUACUUUAGUACCUUUGGUGAUGUAAUCAUGGUGCAGGUGAAACGAGAUGCAAAGACUGGAAAUUCCAAAGGCUUCGGCUUUGUUAGAUUUGCUGACUGGGAGACCCAGGGUAAAGUGAUUACCCAGCGGCACAUGAUUGACGGGAGAUGGUGUGACUGCAAGCUACCCAACUCAAAGCAGGGUCCUGAUGAGCCAAUGAGGAGCAGAAAGGUGUUUGUUGGCCGUUGCACGGAGGACUUGACCUCUGAUGAUCUGCGUCAGUUCUUCAUGCAAUACGGCGAGGUCACUGAUGUCUUCAUCCCCAAGCCCUUCCGAGCGUUUGCUUUUGUUACGUUUGCUGAUGACCAGAUUGCUGCUUCCCUGUGUGGGGAGGACCUAAUCAUCAAGGGAGUGAGUGUUCAUAUAUCCAAUGCUGAACCCAAGCACAGUGGAAGGGGGCACAUGAUGGAUCGGGUUCGUUACGGCAAUGGCUUUGGUGCUCAGGCGUUCGGAGGCAGCCGCAGUAGCUCCAGCAGCCUGGGAAACUUCAGCAACUUCAAUCUAAACCCAGCUAUGAUGGCUGCUGCUCAGGCCGCCCUGCAGAGUAGCUGGGGAAUGAUGGGAAUGUUGGCACAGCAGGGUCAGUCAGCUACAUCUGGCUCGAGCGCGAGCGGUGCAAGCUCUGCCCGAGACCAGGCGCAGUACAGUACAGGAAACAGCAACUACAGCAGCAGCUCGGCUGCACUCGGCUGGGGCGCAGGCUCUAACCCUGCUAGCAGUGGGAGUGGGUUUAACUCGAGCUUUGGCUCCAGUAUGGAGUCCAAGUCUACGGGGUGGGGGAUGUAAGUGGUGGGGUUUGUUUGUUGAAGUGUUGGUAUUUUUAGUGUGUGUUUGGUAAGUAUUUUCUGAGAGACUUAACUCAUUUUGUGCAUUGCGGGAGUGGGAGUACAAGCAAAUGGGGAGUUUGGGGGAGACCAGAAUCUUUUUCUACAUUUAAACAAGAGAUUAGGUAAAGGUUUAAAACAUUGGUACACAAACAUCACCUCUGUAUGCUAUAUUGUUAUUUUGGGGGUAGAAAAUAUUUCAACUGGAUUCUUAAAAAAAUGCAUGAAGUUAGUCUGUGGUCACAAAUGUGCAUGUUUUCCAGACUACCAAAUUUGUACCUUCUGAAAGCCUUUUUUUGUUUGUUUGUUUUUUUUUAAGUCACUUGCAUUGGGAAGAAUCUCGUUGAAAAAUAAGCCUUUUAAGUACAUGUUUUAUUUGCAGGAAGAUACAUUUAAAAAGCCUUCAUCGAAAUCUCUUCUGCAGUUGCCAUCUGUGGUUUUGCCUGAGAAGAAGGCCCUCUGUGGCAGCACUGUGCGGCUGAGGUCAUAAUGCCAUCUUCCUCAUGUCUUAAAGCUCUCCUCGCUCGGCUCGCUGACACGGGGCCUGGAAAAUGGCUGGCUGCAGGUUGCGUCUGAACCCCAGAUGGAAAGUCCGUUUGGGGACGGAGGAAGACGGAGGAGUGUCUGGUUCCCCAUUACACCAUUAGCGUCUCUGGUAACAGAAAAACAGACUGUAGAAUGUAGCUAAUCAACAGCCACCACAAUGUUGGGCUUUAUUUUUAAAGCCAGAUAUCAAGAUUUGUCCUGCCAAAAAUCUUUAUGCAGGAUUUAUUGUACUUAAUCUGGAUCUAGAGCAAUGGCCCAAACAUUCUGGUAUAAAAUGGUAGUUAUGGCAAAAUACUGGUUUUGUACAAAAUUUUAGUUUGCUACAUAAUGCAAUAAUUGGUCCUUUUGUCAAUAGUGCCUCAAUUUUGAUUAUUUUUAAAUGAGGUCAAUUGUGGGAUUUGUGGUACAAAAAAAGUCUUUAUUCCAUAUAUAUUUACCAAAUGUCUCACUCUUUACCUAUUCACACUGUUUUAUACAGUCACAAUUUUUACAUUCACAGGCAGUGAAAAUGUUUUGCAUCUUCUAUAUUACAAUAAAAUACACAAUCUUGA
Molecule: RNA transcript, 2691 nt
Organism: Clarias gariepinus (North African catfish)
Lineage: Eukaryota; Metazoa; Chordata; Actinopteri; Siluriformes; Clariidae
Gene: tardbpb
Gene name: TAR DNA binding protein b
Exons: 7
Source: RefSeq, a predicted model, not a curated record